RNAcentral lists this transfer RNA (93 nucleotides) under Rostrohypoxylon terebratum. Its description in RNAcentral is "tRNA-Val". The record is from RNAcentral. Lineage: Eukaryota; Fungi; Ascomycota; Sordariomycetes; Xylariales; Hypoxylaceae.
AGUCACGUGGUCUAAAGGCUAUGACAUCUCGUUUACAGUAAUGCGCUCAUGUAAGUGCCGAGAAGGUUCCGUGUUCGAUCCACGGCGUGACUA